RNAcentral lists this unclassified non-coding RNA (236 nucleotides) under fungal sp. RNAcentral's name for it is "partial internal transcribed spacer region". The stretch from base 1 to 46 matches the Rfam family "Eukaryotic small subunit ribosomal RNA", at positions 1786 to 1831 of the family's 1831-position model. Lineage: Eukaryota; Fungi. The record is from RNAcentral.
AAGUCGUAACAAGGUCUCCGUUGGUGAACCAGCGGAGGGAUCAUUACCGAGUUGCAAGACUCCCAAACCCCUGUGAAACGUUGGAACUUUCAGCUGCCUCGAUGGGCGGCCCCAGGGCGGGGCCGUUGCCUACUCGGCGCCCAUCGGCGGUACGCAACUAUAAAUUCAGCACAAGGAAAUUCUGAGUGUUCUAUAAGAACUAGUCAAAACUUUCAACAACGGAUCUCUUGGUUCUG